GAAUAGGGCGGUACCUUGACGGUACCUAACCAGAAAGCCACGGCUAAUACGUGCCAGCAGCCGCGGUAACUACGUAGGUGGCAAGCGUUGUCCGGAAUUAUUGGGCGUAAAGGGCUCGCAGGCGGUUUCUUAAGUCUGAUGUGAAAGCCCCCGGCUCAACCGGGGAGGGUCAUUGGAAACUGGGGAACUUGAGUGCAGAAGAGGAGAGUGGAAUUCCACGUGUAGCGGUGAAAUGCGUAGAGAUGUGGAGGAACACCAGUGGCGAAGGCGACUCUCUGGUCUGUAACUGACGCUGAGGAGCGAAAGCGUGGGGAGCGAACAGGAUUAGAUACCCUGGUAGUCCACGCCGUAAACGAUGAGUGCUAAGUGUUAGGGGGUUUCCGCCCCUUAGUGCUGCAGCUAACGCAUUAAGCACUCCGCCUGGGGAGUACGGUCGCAAGACUGAAACUCAAAGGAAUUGACGGGGGCCCGCACAAGCGGUGGAGCAUGUGGUUUAAUUUGAAGCAACGCGAAGAACCUUACCAGGUCUUGACAUCCUCUGACAAUCCUAGAGAUAGGACGUCCCCUUCGGGGGCAGAGUGACAGGUGGUGCAUGGUUGUCGUCAGCUCGUGUCGUGAGAUGUUGGGUUAAGUCCCGCAACGAGCGCAACCCUUGAUCUUAGUUGCCAGCAUUCAGUUGGGCACUCUAAGGUGACUGCCGGUGACAAACCGGAGGAAGGUGGGGAUGACGUCAAAUCAUCAUGCCCCUUAUGACCUGGGCUACACACGUGCUACAAUGGACAGAACAAAGGGCAGCGAAACCGCGAGGUUAAGCCAAUCCCACAAAUCUGUUCUCAGUUCGGAUCGCAGUCUGCAACUCGACUGCGUGAAGCUGGAAUCGCUAGUAAUCGCGGAUCAGCAUGCCGCGGUGAAUACG
RNAcentral lists this ribosomal RNA (916 nucleotides) under Bacillus subtilis. RNAcentral describes it as "bacterial SSU rRNA". It matches the Rfam family "Bacterial small subunit ribosomal RNA", at positions 448 to 1370 of the family's 1533-position model. Lineage: Bacteria; Bacillati; Bacillota; Bacilli; Caryophanales; Bacillaceae. The record is from RNAcentral.